UACUAAGUUACAAAUUAAAUUAAUGAUAAUUCUCUAAUUUAUUAAAUUGGUUACUGAGUAAAACAUAUUAUAAUUUCCUAGACAUUAUGUACAUCUCAUUGGCACUUGUAUGGAUAUGUUUCAAAAUAAUUCAUGUAGAAAAUGUUCGAUGUCCGAUUGGAGAAAUGACAGAUGAAAAACUCUGCACAGAAUUAAGAACAAAAACUUUGAUGAAUAAAUUCUAUAUACGUAAGU
Molecule: long non-coding RNA, 234 nt
Organism: Melanaphis sacchari
Lineage: Eukaryota; Metazoa; Arthropoda; Insecta; Hemiptera; Aphididae
Exons: 3
Source: RefSeq, a predicted model, not a curated record